GGGAUUUGUGAUCAAAGGUGGCCUCUUCAUGAAAGCUAUUGUUUGGAGAUGAGCCCGCGUCCCAUUAGCUAGUUGGCAGGGUAAUGGCCUACCAAGGCAACGAUGGGUAGCUGGUCUGAGAGGAUGAUCAGCCACACUGGAACUGGUACACGGUCCAGACUCCUACGGGAGGCAGCAGUGAGGAAUUUUGCGCAAUGGGGGGAAACCCUGACGCAGCAACGCCGCGUGAGUGAUGAAGGCCUUCGGGUCGUAAAGCUCUGUCAAGUGGGAAGAAGUCAUGUAUGGCUAAUAUCCAUAUAUGUUGACGGUACUACUGAAGGAAGCACCGGCUAACUCCGUGCCAGCAGCCGCGGUAA
Molecule: ribosomal RNA, 356 nt
Filed under: uncultured delta proteobacterium
Lineage: Bacteria; Deltaproteobacteria
Description: bacterial SSU rRNA
Rfam family: Bacterial small subunit ribosomal RNA
Source: RNAcentral